RNAcentral lists this long non-coding RNA (384 nucleotides) under Homo sapiens (human). RNAcentral describes it as "non-protein coding lnc-PGC-1:4". The record is from RNAcentral. Lineage: Eukaryota; Metazoa; Chordata; Mammalia; Primates; Hominidae.
GGUGUGAGCUGACGAGAGCUUCAGCCUGCUUGGGAUUCUGGCCCCAUGAUUUAGGGUUUCUUUGGAGCCCAUCUGAGCCUGGGGGGCCCUGUGGUGGUGGAAGAGGUCCAGCCUGCGGUGGUGAAAGAGGAGCCAGCGCCGGCAGCCACCAUGGCGUCACGCAUAGGGUUGCGCAUGCAGCUCAUGCGGGAGCAGGCGCAGCAGGAGGAGCAGCGGGAGCGCAUGCAGCAACAGGCUGUCAUGCAUUACAUGCAGCAGCAGCAGCAGCAGCAACAGCAGCAGCUCGGAGGGCCGCCCACCCCGGCCAUCAAUACCCCCGUCCACUUCCAGUCGCCACCACCUGUGCCUGGGGAGGUGUUGAAGGUAGGGCCUGUUCUGGCCUGC